This 497-nucleotide ribosomal RNA is filed under the name uncultured bacterium. Its description in RNAcentral is "partial 16S ribosomal RNA". It matches the Rfam family "Bacterial small subunit ribosomal RNA", at positions 28 to 507 of the family's 1533-position model. The record is from RNAcentral.
GACGAACGCUGGCGGCGUGCCUAAUACAUGCAAGUUGAGCGCUGAAGGUUGGUACUUGUACCGACUGGAUGAGCAGCGAACGGGUGAGUAACGCGUGGGGAAUCUGCCUUUGAGCGGGGGACAACAUUUGGAAACGAAUGCUAAUACCGCAUAAAAACUUUAAACACAAGUUUUAAGUUUGAAAGAUGCAAUUGCAUCACUCAAAGAUGAUCCCGCGUUGUAUUAGCUAGUUGGUGAGGUAAAGGCUCACCAAGGCGAUGAUACAUAGCCGACCUGAGAGGGUGCUCGGCCACAUUUGGACUGAGACACCGCCCAAACUCCUACGGGAGGCAGCAGUAGGGGAUCUUCGGCCAUAGACGAAAGUCUGACCGAGCAACGCCGCGUGAGUGAAGAAGGUUUUCGGAUCGUAAAACUCUGUUGGUAGAGAAGAACGUUGGUGAGAGUGGAAAGCUCAUCAAGUGACGGUAACUACCCAGAAAGGGACGGCUAACUACGUG